CUGCAUGGAGCCGACCUUGAAAUACCACCCUUUAAUGUUUGAUGUUCUAACGUGGACCCGUAAUCCGGGUUGCGGACAGUGUCUGGUGGGUAGUUUGACUGGGGCGGUCUCCUCCUAAAGAGUAACGGAGGAGCACGAAGGUUGGCUAAUCCUGGUCGGACAUCAGGAGGUUAGUGCAAUGGCAUAAGCCAGCUUGACUGCGAGCGUGACGGCGCGAGCAGGUGCGAAAGCAGGUCAUAGUGAUCCGGUGGUUCUGAAUGGAAGGGCCAUCGCUCAACGGAUAAAAGGUACUCCGGGGAUAACAGGCUGAUACCGCCCAAGAGUUCAUAUCGACGGCGGUGUUUGGCACCUCGAUGUCGGCUCAUCACAUCCUGGGGCUGAAGUAGGUCCCAAGGGUAUGGCUGUUCGCCAUUUAAAGUGGUACGCGAGCUGGGUUUAGAACGUCGUGAGACAGUUCGGUCCCUAUCUGCCGUGGGCGCUGGAGAACUGAGGGGGGCUGCUCCUAGUACGAGAGGACCGGAGUGGACGCAUCACUGGUGUUCGGGUUGUCAUGCCAAUGGCACUGCCCGGUAGCUAAAUGCGGAAGAGAUAAGUGCUGAAAGCAUCUAAGCACGAAACUUGCCCCGA
This 627-nucleotide ribosomal RNA is filed under the name Salmonella enterica subsp. enterica serovar Senftenberg. Its description in RNAcentral is "partial 23S ribosomal RNA". It matches the Rfam family "Bacterial large subunit ribosomal RNA", at positions 2176 to 2802 of the family's 2925-position model. Lineage: Bacteria; Pseudomonadati; Pseudomonadota; Gammaproteobacteria; Enterobacterales; Enterobacteriaceae. RNAcentral also lists the same sequence under 3 other names. The record is from RNAcentral.